RNAcentral lists this unclassified non-coding RNA (207 nucleotides) under soil metagenome. RNAcentral's name for it is "partial contains 5.8S ribosomal RNA, internal transcribed spacer 2, and large subunit ribosomal RNA". The record is from RNAcentral.
AACCAUAGAAACCUGCGGAGUACCUGCGGAAGGAUCAUUAUCGAGUUGCAAAACUCCAACCCUUUGUGAACAUACCUCAGUCGUUGCUUCGGCGGUGGACGGCCUGUUUUUCGGAACGGCCGGAAGCCGCCGGAGGUUCCAAACUCGUAUUUUUUAGUGUAUCUCUGAGCCUGAAAACAAAUAAUCAAAACUUUUAGCAACGGAUCU